Non-coding RNA from Camellia sinensis, 2279 nucleotides. NCBI's taxonomy places the organism in Eukaryota, Viridiplantae, Streptophyta, Magnoliopsida, Ericales, Theaceae. The record is from RefSeq and is a predicted model, not a curated record.
AAUGGUACUUUGAACUUGGAAUGAGUAUGAAAAAAUUGACUACACUUUUAUCUUUUAAGUCGUUUUGUCGGACACAAUGUUAAGAUGGAAUGAUACAUAGUAGCCUUGUCUCUACGCUUGAAAUUGACUAUACUUUUAUCUUUCAAGUGGGUUUGAGAAUAUUGCCCGAUGAUGAACAUGAGAGAUCGUUUGAAAAAUCGUAUGAGGCUCUGGAAAAAUGUCCAUUUUUCCUUUAUAAGAGCUUAACUGAACUUUAGGUGAUAAAACAAGUGUUUUGAUAAAAUUCAGCUUGUAUUAGGAAGCGUGCCAUUUGAUAGUUUUUGAAAUAAUUUGCCCUUUAAGUUCAAAAACUCUAGUGUUCUCUCACGUACUAAACACAUUCUCACUUGGCGCCCAAACUAAUAAAAUGAAGUACAUCAUGCAAUAACGGAAAUAAAUGUUUAAGUUACAGACCCAAAAUUAAUUAAUAUAAUAAUCCAACAAAAGAUGUAAAGGCACGCAAGCCCAAUUAACGUAGGGUUUGAACUUAACAUGACAAACUAUGUCCCAACACUCAUGCCGGCAGGUGUCUAUUAGUACCUACACAAUGCAGGGGGGGUGAGUAUUGACACUCACCCAACAGUAAUCUCAUUUCUUACUGAGUAAACAUGUUAGUGUCGUGGCAAAUAAAUUAUGUAAUGGAAUGUCCAAUUUCUUGAUUAACUUAAUUUUAUUAAGUCCAUCUUAUUUAAUUAACUCAUUAGAGAUAAUUAAAUAAUGGAAAGAAUCCGAAAUCAAUAACCACCAAUAGGGCUUCAAUAACCUGCCAACAUGGAAAAAAAAUUUAGCCUCGCCAACACAUAACAUAUCCAAGCUAUAAAUAAGUACAGACUAGGUCCCACAUUGAUCUCACUCGAUGCUCCCUCUGAGCUGCAUGUUAGAAAAUCCACACCACCGUCUCCACAGAAGCUACUAUUGCUAUCAACUGCACAGUGUUCGGGGUUCUAAUCCUCAAAUAGUUCGAUCCACUAUCUCCUGAAGCUUAUUGGCAAUACCGGCUAUAAGCCUAUAACCCGGGCCACGCCUGUAAAAUCAAUAAUACCGGGACUCGACCGAAAAUCAACCGAGUACAAAUAAAACUCCAAACUAGGUUACUUUUACAGUUGGAAUAUUUUUCGACACUAGGCCAUUUUCUCAAAAAUGUUCUCCUUGGCCAAUACCCUUAAGGGUCCAAUCUCAAUUAUGCCCCCAAGGCAUAAUUGACCUAAAUGCCCUUAAGGCACAAAUUACUAAGAUGCUCUCAAGGACAAAAUUACCAAAUUGCCCUCAGGCAUAAAUUAUCAAAAUGCAUUCAAGGCAUCAUUUACCAUUAUAUCCCAAUUAACCACUAGUUAAUUUCUUAUAUGAUAAAUUCAAGAAUUUCACCCAAAUUACUUUUAAUGGAUUAUUUUACCCUUUAGUGGCCAAAAUCACCAUUUAGCCCUUAUAGUCUCUAAAUUCAUUAAAUAACCCAACAAAUCCACAAAGUAACUUAAACCUUAAAAUAAUCGUAGGAACAUAUUUAUUUACUCAAGAAACUAGCAAGCAAAACUAGUUUGAAAAUUUUGAAAAAAAUAGCAAAACUCAACUAAAUCAAACCAUGUUUUUAAUUAGGCUAUUUAACCCCAUGAUUAGUCUAACUACAUUAUUUUUCUCAAAUUUUCAACACUUCUAAGAUUUCACACAAUUCUAAAGUUGUCCAAAAAUUAUGUUAUUUACAUCAAAAGUCUUAGAAUAUGGCACAGACAACACCUUUUGAUAUUUGAGUAAAAAGCCCCAAAUGUUUUUCGUACCCAAUUCUUUCUUUGUUUUCAUUCUCUCUUUUACAUGUUUAUGUAAAUAUAUGUAUUAUGUAUUAGGGUUUGUGAUAUAGAAGAGGGAAAAGCCAAUUUGCAGAGCAAGGGCGUCAAUGAAUCAACAACGAACCACCUGCAUUGAAGGGUCAAGAGGGAAUCUGGAGGGAAAUAUAUAGAGAGAUGGAGGGAGAGAAAAACGGUGGCGCUACUUGCAUAAUGAUGUCGCCAAAUUGAAGGUUGCUUAUAGUAGUCCAUAGGUUCCUUUGUUUUUCUUUGCUCAAUCAAACUUUGUUUUGUCGUAGGAAUGACUCAUUUUUUGUUGAUAGAGCUACUAUGUAUGUAGCAGCAGAUAUUUGAAAAUUGAAAUCAGUUUGUGUAAUAAAAGUUUAAUGCUUUGAUUUACUAGGAAAAUAUUUGUUGUUUAUUUUUUUCAAAUGUAAAUAAUCAUGUUUUCAAAUUUAAAAA